UCUGUGUUGGUAGAAAACGCAAUUACCCUGGGGAGGGCGGCCCCAGGUUAACCCUCAAGGGAAUUGAGGGGACCCGCUCACCACGUGCGAUGUAGCUUAAUUUGUUGCAAGCGAAAAACCUCACUUGAUCUUGACAUGUACGGCACUCCCCAGAGAUGGCUGGGUGCGAAAGGGAGCCGUAACACAGGUGCUGCAUGGCUGUGUCAGCUCAGUCGUGAGAUGUUGGGUUAAGUCCUGCAACGAGCGCAACCCUUGCCUUAGUGCCAUCAUUAAGUUGGGCACUCUAAUGGGACUGCCGGUGACAAACCGGAGGAAGGUGGGGAUGACGUCAAGUCCUCAUGGCCUUAUGCCAGGGCUUCACACGUCAUACAAUGGUCGGUACAGAGGGUAGCCAAGCCGCGAGGUGGAGCCAAUCUCAUAAAACCUUUAAUAGUCCGGAUCGCACUCUCAACUCGAGUGCGGAAGUCGGAAUCGCUAGUA
RNAcentral lists this ribosomal RNA (480 nucleotides) under Aquitalea sp. RNAcentral describes it as "bacterial SSU rRNA". It matches the Rfam family "Bacterial small subunit ribosomal RNA", at positions 874 to 1340 of the family's 1533-position model. The record is from RNAcentral. Lineage: Bacteria; Pseudomonadati; Pseudomonadota; Betaproteobacteria; Neisseriales; Chromobacteriaceae.